RNAcentral lists this ribosomal RNA (468 nucleotides) under uncultured bacterium. RNAcentral describes it as "partial 16S ribosomal RNA". It matches the Rfam family "Bacterial small subunit ribosomal RNA", at positions 28 to 507 of the family's 1533-position model. The record is from RNAcentral.
GACGAACGCUGGCGGCGUGCUUAACACAUGCAAGUCGAACGGACAGGCCCUGCUCUUGUGGGUUGCUCGAGUGGCGAACGGGUGAGUAACACGUGAGUAACCUGCCCUUGUCUUUCGGAUAACUUCAGGAAACUGGGGCUAAUACCGGAUAUGAGCUCCUGCUGCAUGUUGGGGGUUGGAAAGUUUCGGCGGUUGGGGAUGGACUCGCGGCUUAUCAGCUUGUUGGUGUGGUAGUGGCUUACCAAGGCUUUGACGGGUAGCCGGCCUGAGAGGGUGACCGGCCACAUUGGGACUGCGAUACGGACCAGACUCCUACGGGAGGCAGCAGUGGGGAAUAUUGCACAAUGGGCGGAAGCCUGAUGCAGCAACGCCGCGUGCGGGAUGACGGCCUUCGGGUUGUAAACCGCUUUCGCAUGUGACGAAGCGUGAGUGACGGUAAUGGGUAAAGAAGCAACGGCUAACUACGUG